UGAGGUUGAUGUGCCCUAUGAGUGUGUGAGGUUGAUGUGCCCUAUGAAGAGUGUGAGGUUGAUGUGCCCUAUGAAGAGUGUGAGGUUGAUGUGCCCUAUGAAGUGUGUGAGGUUGAUGUACCCUAUGAAGUGUGUGAGGUUGAUGUACCCUAUGAGUGUGUGAGGUUGAUGUGCCCUAUGAGAGUGUGAGGUUGAUGUACCCUAUGAAGAGUGUGAGAUUGAUGUGCCCUAUGAGUGUGAGGUUGAUGUGCCCUAUGAGAGUGUGAGGUUGAUGUACCCUAUGAAGAGUGUGAGAUUGAUGUGCCCUAUGAGUGUGAGGUUGAUGUGCCCUAUGAGUGUGUGAGGUUGAUGUGCCCUAUGAAGAGUGUGAGGUUGAUGUGCCCUAUGAGUGUGUGAGGUUGAUGUGCCCUAUGAGUGUGUGAGUUUGAUGUGCCCUAUGAAGAGUGUGAGGUUGAUGUGCCCUAUGAAGAGUGUGAGAUUGAUGUGCCCUAUGAAGUGCAUGAGGUUGAUGUGCCCUAUGAAGUGUGUGUGGUUGAUGUGCCCUAUGAGUGUGUGAGGUUGAUGUGCCCUAUGAAGAGUGUGAGAUUGAUGUGCCCUAUGAAGAGUGUGAGGUUGAUGUGCC
Molecule: long non-coding RNA, 622 nt
Organism: Xyrauchen texanus (razorback sucker)
Lineage: Eukaryota; Metazoa; Chordata; Actinopteri; Cypriniformes; Catostomidae
Exons: 3
Source: RefSeq, a predicted model, not a curated record